Molecule: transfer RNA, 66 nt
Filed under: Aphanotorulus emarginatus
Lineage: Eukaryota; Metazoa; Chordata; Actinopteri; Siluriformes; Loricariidae
Description: tRNA-Cys
Source: RNAcentral
AGCUCCGGGGUGUCGGCACGUCAGAUUGCAAAUCUGAAGGAGUAGGCUAGUUGCCUGCCGGGGCUU